GAAUUAGCAGGGAAUGAAGCCCCUGUUGAGCUUGACUCUAGUCUAGCAUGGUGAAGAGACAUGAGAACAGUGCAAUAAGUAGAAGACCUCUGAUGCUCUCUGGUUCCCUGGGAGGGGUCAGCGUGAGGUCCACCAGCCUCACAGACUACAGUGAAAUGCUACUUAUCAUUUUCCACUGACCCAGGGAGACAGGGGUGGCUUGAGCCAUGAGUGGUUCUCACUUCCGGCACCAAGUGUCUGUCACACAUAUUGUAUGCUAUGGCCCAUUCUGGGAACAGUGCCAUGUUCAUAGUUUGACUGGGGAGUUACACUUGUCAAACAGUAAUGCAGGUGACCUACAGCGAACUCACAGAUGACAGAAACUAUCCUUAAAGGCUGCUUUACCACGAUUUUCAGUACAAAUACAAACCAUGAAAGCAGGGCAUUAAAAUCCUUCUGAAUUUUUGGUUUUUAAGUAGGAAUUGUCAGAAAAGUUACCACAGGUAUAACUGCCUCCUGGAAGAAAAGUGUUCAUAGUGACAUAGUUUUAUUGACCCUGCAAUGUCUGCUGUUCUUGUGAUUUUGAAGCAGAACUCACCUAGGGUUGGAUUGUUGACCCAGUAAUAGGGAAUGUGAGCUGGAUUAGAACAUCAUGAGACAGACUCGUUUUACCUACUGAUUAUGUGCAUUUUGCCUUUGAAUCCUGCUCAGUAUGAGAGGAACAAUAUGUUCACACAUUUGGUGUGUAUGCUCCACUGAGAAGACAAUGAGCAAGACUACCACUUGUAGAAUUAUGACUUAAGGCCCCUAAGUUGAUAUUCCACUGAUGCAGGGCUGUAAAAUGGAGCCAAAGACCCUCAGUUAGCCCUGGAUAGCCAGGUCUGGUCUAUACCUGCUGCAGGUGCCAUUGCAUUCCCACAAGGUGGUGGGUCCCUGUUGUGUUGGGGCACAGGUGUCCAGUGUGGAAAGACACUCAUCCUCUGAAACAUCGUGUGCUAGAAACAAGACAGACCUUUCAUCCAUCAUGCUAAUGCAUGUGUGUGUAGAAUCUGGAGCUAAAUCAUUCCAAGGUGACCUGCUUCUGUGUCGGGGAUUCAUAUAUAGCAGAACAGUUAACUUACUUUGUCUCUUGAAAGUCAUCCCUCAACACAAGGUUU
Molecule: non-coding RNA, 1136 nt
Filed under: Rattus norvegicus (Norway rat)
Lineage: Eukaryota; Metazoa; Chordata; Mammalia; Rodentia; Muridae
Description: Eukaryotic large subunit ribosomal RNA
Rfam family: Eukaryotic large subunit ribosomal RNA
Source: Rfam by way of RNAcentral